RNAcentral lists this microRNA (21 nucleotides) under Eisenia fetida (common brandling worm). RNAcentral describes it as "Efe-Mir-2691-P3_3p (mature (guide))". Lineage: Eukaryota; Metazoa; Annelida; Clitellata; Crassiclitellata; Lumbricidae. The record is from RNAcentral.
UUUUGCAAAGUAUCACUGCUU